CGGGUGGCGAGCGGCGGACGGGUGAGUAAUGCCUGGGAAAUUGCCCUGAUGUGGGGGAUAACCAUUGGAAACGAUGGCUAAUACCGCAUGAUGCCUACGGGCCAAAGAGGGGGACCUUCGGGCCUCUCGCGUCAGGAUAUGCCCAGGUGGGAUUAGCUAGUUGGUGAGGUAAGGGCUCACCAAGGCGACGAUCCCUAGCUGGUCUGAGAGGAUGAUCAGCCACACUGGAACUGAGACACGGUCCAGACUCCUACGGGAGGCAGCAGUGGGGAAUAUUGCACAAUGGGCGCAAGCCUGAUGCAGCCAUGCCGCGUGUGUGAAGAAGGCCUUCGGGUUGUAAAGCACUUUCAGUUGUGAGGAAGGUGGUGUCGUUAAUAGCGGCAUCAUUUGACGUUAGCAACAGAAGAAGCACCGGCUAACUCCGUGCCAGCAGCCGCGGUAAUACGGAGGGUGCGAGCGUUAAUCGGAAUUACUGGGCGUAAAGCGCAUGCAGGUGGUUUGUUAAGUCAGAUGUGAAAGCCCGGGGCUCAACCUCGGAACUGCAUUUGAAACUGGCAGACUAGAGUACUGUAGAGGGGGG
This 580-nucleotide ribosomal RNA is filed under the name Vibrio vulnificus. RNAcentral describes it as "bacterial SSU rRNA". It matches the Rfam family "Bacterial small subunit ribosomal RNA", at positions 85 to 661 of the family's 1533-position model. The record is from RNAcentral. Lineage: Bacteria; Pseudomonadati; Pseudomonadota; Gammaproteobacteria; Vibrionales; Vibrionaceae.